Molecule: signal recognition particle RNA, 299 nt
Filed under: Aotus nancymaae (Ma's night monkey)
Lineage: Eukaryota; Metazoa; Chordata; Mammalia; Primates; Aotidae
Description: Metazoan signal recognition particle RNA (ENSANAG00000011208.1)
Rfam family: Metazoan signal recognition particle RNA
About the family: The signal recognition particle (SRP) is a universally conserved ribonucleoprotein.
Source: RNAcentral
GCCAGGCACGGUGGCGCGUGCCUGUAGUCCCAGCUACUUGGAAAGCUGAGGCUGGAGGAUCGCUUGAGUCCAGGAGUUCUGGGCUGUAGUGCACUAUGCUGAUCGGGUAUCCACACUAAGUUCAGUAUCAAUAUGGUGACCUCCCGGGAGUGGGGGACCACCAGGUCACCUAAGAAGGGGUGAACCGGCCCAGGUCGGAAAUGGAGCAGGUCAAAACUCCCGUGCUGAUCAGUAGUGGAAUCGUGCCUGUGAAUAGCCACUGCACUCCAGCCUGGGCAGCAUAGCGAGACCCCGUCUCU